GAAAAUGGGUCAGGGUACGUGAUUUAUUUUGAAAGAAAAAAUAGUUUUGGUUCCAUUGGCUCCUUGACCGAAACACUCACCUCCUUCCUAGCUCUGUCUCUCGCUCUAACGAAAACUAGGUUUAGCUUCCGAUCAAAGGAAACCGCUUCUCCCUUCCCCUCACCAUCAUCUUCUACAUCUAUACACACAAGAAUGCAGAGGCGGAGCAGGGGACUUAGCCCUAGCCCCUUUCACCAUGGAUCAGUUGUCGCCUCGACGCCAUUUGCUAGAGCCUCUGUCAUCCUCCGGUACUGACACUGUCAAUAGCGGCUUCUUCAGAUAAGUGGCAUUUCUGAUGCAUUUUUCCUUUGUAUUCCUUUGUAGUGUGUGUCUUCUAUGGUCGCUGUUGUUGUUGGUUCUUCCAACCCAUUUAUCCGAAAGUUGGUUUCUCUUGAUGGUGGGUAAUGCUUCGUAGCAGGUUAGGGUGAAAUUUUUGGAAUUUCUGAUUUAGGGUUUCAUGCCAUUUUUUUAAAUUUCUGGUUUUAUUUUUAUUUUCUGCAAAACUUUAGGGGUAUUGUCUUUAUUGCGAGUUAAAUUUGCUCCUCCGUUACUCUCUAAGUGUUGUUUGUUAAAUGAAGCAAGCCCUUGUGCUCAAUCACUGCUCCUCCGUUUAAGGCAGCAGAAGCACCAUCAAACCCGUUGAAGAGAAACUUUUGACACUUUGCAGUGUUUGUGACCAGAAGAAGGGUCAAAAGACAAAUAGCAAGCACAAGCACAAGUGUUCUGGUUUUCGCCAUCACGAGGCAGAGCACCCAAAAAAAACUAGUAUCAGAUAUAAUUAAAUAUGGAGCAUCUCAAACUCAGCAAAGAAAGUUGUCAUUUUUUGGGACUUGUCUUCUGGUUUAAGCAACACAAUGAAAGUCAGAACAUGCAGGUAUCCUAACGUAAAGUAAUAUAGUGGUGUACUUAGGUUUAGCUUUACACCAAUUUUACUUGCUUGCCAAAAUCAGAAACCGACUUAUAAUUGAUAUAUUUAUGGGUUGGAGUUGAAGUACAAACAAGUCAGCAUAGGCAUCAUUACAUGGUUUUUCAAAAAUUUGGGAAUAUCAAAUUUAAAUGGAAUUACUUAUUUAUGAGGUUAAGUUGUGUUUUGAUUUAAGAUUUCAAUCAUUAUUUUUUUAUUAUGGUAUUUUUAAUAUGGAUAGUAAAUAUCUUUGACAAAAUGUAAUACUAUUCAAAUAAUAUGAUUGGGCAAGAAAUUACUUUUUGGAGUAUUUAGUACUAUUGUAUAUCCAAAAGAUUUGAACAAUUCUGGACAAGAUAGUUGAUACGUUUUCCAUAUUAAUUAAUUUAUAAGCUUAGUGAUAUUUAUAACUCAUUUUAUCUCUUGAUAUCAUAUUAUAAUUUCUGGAUUUUUAUUAAGUUGAUUUAAUUCAAACCAAGGAAAUUUAAUUAUAAUAAUCUAAUUAUACACACAUGUGUAUAGUUCUUUUUAUUUUAUGAAAUAACUUAUAGAGUAAACUCAUUGGUGAAAUUACCGUAGCAUGUAAUUAUGAAAAGUGCCUUGUAAUGUGUAUUGUCCAAUCUAAAUAUAGUUGUUUUUCUUUACAACUUCCAUGGAUAAGAACUUUAUCUCUUGUUUUCCUUAAUUUUUAAAAUAUAGUGAUAGAGCUUUCUGAAUGAGAUAAAAGAACUUACAAGAGUGAGGCACCUCAACAUAAUAAACCUUUAUGGGUUAUGUUAUUGUAGGGGACAAAUGUUCUUGGUUUAUGAAUAUAUAGAAGGAGGAAGUGAUACAACUCGGUUGAAUUCAAAGUAAGAAUAAUUCAAGCCUCACAUGUGGCCUUCACUUUGGCAUAUGUAUGUUCUCAUAAAUGUUGUAUAGGUGUUCUAUAGUAAUACACAUUGUCAUAAAGUUUAUAUUUAAUGUAAUGAACAAAUGAAUCAUAAAUGCUAGGUUAGUAAUUUAGUUAGUAUGACUACUAAAAAAUGUGAGCUAUUAUAGUUAUUGCUCCCUGAUUGUAUGAAUGUGGCUUAAAUAGUAGGGAUCAAUUAUAAUUGGAGAAGAGGAUGAGACAAUAGCUAAAGAUGGAUAAUGCAAGAUACAUAUGAUUCUGAUGCUCUCCCAAUAAAUUCAUUACCUCACUUUCAAUACCUUUCCUGCACUUUAAUUCUCUCUCACGUUUCUCACAUUACAAUCAAGCCAACACAAACAACCUACUUUUACUACUACUUUCUUCAUUACUCAAUUCACGGUUUGUCAUGACACAUGUAGAAUUUAGGCUUAAAUACUUUUUUUAUCUUAUUUUCAUAGUGUUUAUUGCGGAUGGUCCUCAUUUUUACCGAAUGUUUAAAAUGGUUCUUAUUUUUGCAAUUCGUGUUUUAUUUAAUCCUGUUUUUGUGACAUUGUUUAAAUGAGUAACAGAGCACUGCACAUGUGACACUGUUUGUAUUACGUUGCAUUGGGGUAUGUUAUGUGUACUGUACAAGUGUGAUAAUUAGAUAUUUGGGGAUAAAUAGUUGAGUUAGGGUUUUGGUGAGGAAUGUUUGGACAGUUUGUGAGUUUUGGCAAUCUUGUUCUUCCAUUCCCAAUUGGUGUUGCUGCAAUCUUCUUCCUGCAAUCCCAUUAUAUAGGUAUGCCACGGUCCCAAUCUUCUUCUUUUACCUCUGGUUGUAAUCGUUGGAGGCAACCAUGUUGUAGCACUUCGUGCACUGGUGGUUCAACGAGAAAUGAAUUAACCCCGAUUUGUAGUUGCAGAGAGAUGACAACUUUGAGCAUGACAAGAACUCCAAAAAAUAUUGAGUGGUGGUUCGAAUAAUGUGGGCUGCAACUUUUUCAAAUGGUAGUGUGAAGAAGAUGUUAUUGAAAAGGAUGUUAUCAUCAUGACACAAAGGAAGCAAAUUAAUGAUUUGGAGAAGUCAUUGAAGGUUGCUGAGAAGAGGGUGCAAUUAGU
This is a long non-coding RNA of Vigna unguiculata (cowpea), 2933 nucleotides long. NCBI's taxonomy places the organism in Eukaryota, Viridiplantae, Streptophyta, Magnoliopsida, Fabales, Fabaceae. The record is from RefSeq and is a predicted model, not a curated record.